Molecule: RNA transcript, 4963 nt
Organism: Hyla sarda
Lineage: Eukaryota; Metazoa; Chordata; Amphibia; Anura; Hylidae
Gene: SLC22A3
Gene name: solute carrier family 22 member 3
Exons: 12
Source: RefSeq, a predicted model, not a curated record
CAAAGAGCUCCCCCUUUCCCUUCCUCAAGUACCUGCAGCUGCCACCAGCCUGUCCCCUCUUCCUUCUCUUCUCACACACAGUGCUGCACUGGUGUACAGGGCAGACAUACUUAGAGCAUUUAGGUGCUGGACCUCUGCAGUCCCCUCCUGUUCUAACAGUACUCCAUGCCAGAUCUGCUCCUACUGUUGGUCUUCUACGGCUAGAGAGAAGACAAGAGCGAAGAAGGAGGGAAGAAGCAGAAGAAGCAGAAGAAGCAUCCUUUUUUUUUAUCUCCACAGGACAAAGUUUUCCAGGGAGGCUGCAUGUAGUGUCAUCCAUACCUGUCCAAUGUGUUAGCAGGACUUGUGGCUUAUUUACUGCUAUAUCCAAUUGUAAGAGCUUUAUUUUGCUGUGUGGGCCAUCUGCCAGGGUGACAGCAUCAUGCCCACCUUUGAUGAAGUGCUACAGGAGGCUGGUGAGUUUGGGCGCUACCAGAAAAGGGUCUUCCUCCUACUAUGUAUGACGGGCAUAACUUUCGCCUUUUCAUUUGUGGCCAUUGUGUUCUUGGGACAGAUACCGGAGAGUUACUGGUGCAGGAGUUCAGAGGUGGCAGAACUUAGUAGGACCUGUAGAUGGACCCCAGAGGAAGAGAGGAACCUCACUGUACCAAGGCUAUAUCACGACAAUUCUCACCAGGUUCUGUGUCACACGUAUGACAUCACCUGGAAUACCAGUAGCUCACCUCUCAGCUGUGAGAACCCUAUUUAUUCUGUCACAAACCAGAGCUUGGAGAAGCUGCCCAUAAAGCCAUGUGAGGAUGGAUGGGUCUAUGAAGAAUUCCGCACAACCAUCAUAAGCCAGUACAACCUGGUAUGCACAGAUGCAUGGAAACUUGACAUGACACAAGCAUCACUGAACUUGGGAUUUUUGAUAGGGGCUCUGACAUUGGGUUAUGCUGCAGACAGAUAUGGAAGAAAAGUCACGUACCUGAUUUCAUCCUUUGGAGUUGGAGUGUGUGGAAUUGUUGUAGCAUUUGCACCAAACUUUUAUGUUUUGGUGCUUUUCCGUUUUCUACAAGGUAUCUUUGGGAAAGGAACAUGGAUGACAUGCUAUGUUAUUGUAACAGAGUUGGUGGGAUCAAAACAGAGACGUAUCGUUGGUAUUGUGGUUCAAAUGUUUUUCACUUUGGGAGUAAUGAUCAUUCCUGGCAUUGCUUACUUGAUUCCUACAUGGCAGGGCAUUCAGCUGGCCAUUUCACUGCCAAACUUCCUGUUUCUUCUUUAUUACUGGUUCAUUCCUGAAUCUCCUCGAUGGCUGCUCAUACGGAAAAAGAAAGACAAGGCUUUACAUAUUAUAGGCGACAUUGCUAAACACAAUGGAAGGUAUCUCACACCAAACUACUGCCAGAUAACAGUUCCUGAUGAGGAUGUAACCAAUCCUGCAUGUAUGGAUUUGGUCAGAACUCCACAAAUGAGAAAGUGCACUAUAAUUCUGAUGUAUGCCUGGUUUACAAGUGCAGUCAUCUACCAAGGUCUUGUUAUGCGGCUAGGGAUUGUGUCUGGAAGUCUGUAUACAGACUUUUUUAUCUCUGCAGUUGUGGAAUUACCAGCAGCCAUUCUUAUUCUACUCUCUAUUGAUCGUGUUGGGAGAAGACUUCCAUUUGCUUUGAGUAAUGCUGGAGCAGGAAUUGCAUGUUUAAUAACUGCUGCAAUAUCCACAGAUCUCUUGUGGCUAAAAAUUACCCUAGCAACUUUAGGACGUCUCGGAAUCACCAUGGCAUUUGAAAUUGUAUAUUUUGUAAAUACAGAAAUAUAUCCAACACCGCUGAGAAACUUUGGUGUAUCCUUGUGUUCAGGCAUGUGUGACCUAGGAGGCAUUAUUGCUCCAUUUUUACUUUUUCGAUUAGCAGAAAUAUGGGUGGAACUUCCUCUCAUCAUAUUUGGAAUACUUGGCCUUAUUUGUGGUGGUCUAGUCUUGUUAUUGCCUGAGACAAUGGGCAUUUCCUUACCAGAAACAAUUGAAGACGUUGAGAAUCUUGGAAGGUGAACAGAACUGAAGACACAAUUCCAAGGUUUCACAUCCUCUGAUCCUUUUGUAAGGAAAUAGUAAAAAGGUUAAACAGUGAUGAGGGAGAAGUUAUGGACGAUGCUCAUGAAAAAGUGAAUAUAUUAAACACAUUCCUCAGCACUGUAUUUAUGGAGGAAAAUCAAAUGUCAGGCCAAUGAACAAUGACAAGAAAGAAAAAAUGGACAUAUGUAUUCUUGACAGUCACCUAAAAAGUGAUGGUGUUAAAUUAUGACCUUUCACCGAGCACAUCUUAAAAUAAAUAUACUUAUAGUUCUGUAAAUGUAUCCCUAAGUAUCUAGAGCUCACUAUGCCUAAAACAGGCCAGCAUAGAAAUCAUAUUUGUGGUUCGUACCAGCGUGGACAAAUGUAAUCAGUUAUUUUAUACAUCAAAAUAUAUAUGAUUUUUUUUUUUAAAUAAAAUUUGUAUUUUCACACAGUGCACAGCAAUUUUAAGUUAUAAAAUAAGUUGUAAGCAACUGUAAUAUAGCUACUGAGAAGAAAGCUGCAUUCUCCUAGUAAAGCUUUAAAGAGAAUCUCAGCUAGGAUUAUGUACACUCUGGUGUUUUGCAUAUUCACAGAGCCUAUAAAGUGUCCAAUAUUUCCUUAUUAUACAUCAACGAAGAGGUAGGAGACCCUAUACUUUUGUGAAAUAAAAGAUGACACCUGCUAUUUGCAGCAUCCAAGCAUUUCUUAUUUAAGAGUAGAUCUUAUUGCAGUGAUACCCUGGGAUGUGGCAAUCGUGUUAAUGAUAACAAUCAAACAGAACACACUUAGCACGCCUUAACGCCACAAUGUUUUAUUUAUUAUGUAAUUAAGUGAUCUGGUUCCUUUUCUUUUUGUAGGUGUGUAGUAAUCAUUUAACUAUACAUUUUGUUAUAUGCAUCAGAUCAAUGGAGAACACACUAACUGAUAUAAAGGUUAGAAGAAUUGUAAUAUAAUUGCUAAGUAGGCAACACAGAACUUUAGGUGUUUGACAGAUGGCUCAGAUUAGCGAGCUGUGAUUUUGUGUGCAAAUGGUUUAUUCCGACCAUACGUUAGCCGCAUGUCGAUAUUGUAAUAUUGCAUAUUAUAGUAGUUUAAUAAAACCAGUAGUUUGACAAGCUCCUGCCCCUGGCCAACUUCGAUGACCACCAGUCCCUCUCCAUUCAACUUGGUGGUCAGAUCUGGUAGACAAAGGUCUUCCCUCCUUCUUUUAACAACAGUUUCUGUACUUCAAUAACAAAGAUAUACGUGCAGGGUGCUUAUGUAUGUCACAUAAAAUUAUUCCUAUUGCUACAAACAAAAUAUGUAAUAUAAGUUACAUAUUGAAAAUACGCUGAAUAUUAAUGUGCAAUGCAAAUAAAUAUUUUUGCAUGAAAGAGUAAUUUCCUAUAAAUUAUCCCAAGUUGUUUGCUCCUGUCCAGUUCCAGGCUAGAAUUUAAAGGGAAUCUCCAUGGGAGGAGUGUAGGUCAAUCAGGACAAAUAACAAUCACAUAAAACAUUGUUACUCUAAUGUACACUCAGCAACGAAUAGAUCAUGUUUUUAAGUGUUUAUAUAGUUUAGAACAAGUAAUUAAAGUAACUUUAUGAUACAAUGUAACAAACCAAAACAUAUGAAGGAUGCAGCUUCGGAGUAAGCUUUAAUGAUGUGCUAGUUAACACUGUAUGUACUCAAUAGUGAAACAUAAUCUCUUUACGGAUGUUCAAGCCACACGGUGUACUAGUUCCUAGCGUGAACUGUUGAUAGGCUUCAUGACUUAGCAGCUUGUGGUGAAUGUUGUUGCCCAGAGUACGGGGAAGUAUCCUCCCAGUGCCAAAAAUUCUAAAUGAUUUCACCAAGCCUUCAUGUAAAUGUAAAAAGUGCAUGGAUGCUCCCGAUUUAUUUCUGCUAUUUGUCUCACUUGCAGCAUUGAGGUGUUCCAGUGUUUUUACUAAUAAUUUCCGUGACGUGCAUUGGACAAAUUUCAAAUUGCAUUCAGCACACUCAAUAAUGUAUCCUACGUUCUGUGAAUAGCAAUUUAUAUAUUGGUUAAUUUUGAAUGUUUUAUUGCCUGCAAUAUUGCUAUAGUCUUCGCAAGGUUUAGCAAAACUACAAGUUUUACAGAUGUGCCACACUUCUAAUAUCCCUUAUUUUUGAGCCACCUAUUCACACUCUGCAUUUCCAAUGUCACUAAACUAGGUGAUAAAUAAAAGUUGAUGUAUCACUAUUGCGGACACACAUUGCUAACUAGCACAUUUGUUAUUUUCUUCCUCUGAGGCUGCAUCCUUCAGUGGGCUACUCCAGCCUUUCUCCUGGUAACUUUCUCCCUUUUAAAGCUGUCUAUAAGCUGCUGGAGAGUAGGGUUAGCCUCUAGCUCAUGCACAAGCUUACACAGUACUUGGCUCAUGCUGAUAAACAGUGAUUUUAGAAAAAAAAACACCACAUUUCCAAGUGACACACUGCUUAUGUAUGGCUAGCUAUCAUUACUUUGUUAUCUUUAAAAAAGGGCAUCAUAAACCUGAUAAUAGAUUCUCUUUAACCCCUUAACGACAUAGGACAUAAAUGUACGUCCUGGUGCGCUGAUGCCCGCCUUUAACCCCUCAGAUGCCGUGAUCAAUACAAAUCACGGCAUCUGCGGCAGUCCAUAAUGGCGGACGGAGGUCCCCUCACCUGCCUCCGUCUGUCUCCAGUGGUCUUCUGCUCUGGUCUGAGAUCGAGCAGACCAGAGUAUAUGUCAAAAUAUAAUGGUAUUGAUCCUGUACGGAGAACGACGUAAAAAAAAAAAAAAAGUCCAAAAUUGCUGCUUUUUUGUCACACAAGAUGACAUUUUUUUUUAAAGAAAAUGAAUUAAAAGUUUAAAUGGGCACUGUCAGAUACAAAAACUUUUGAUAUGCUGUAAAGCAUGCAAAGCCAAAAUGUUUUGCAAUUGCUUUCAUUAGAAAAUUUUCAGUGUUUCA